Molecule: long non-coding RNA, 372 nt
Organism: Zea mays
Lineage: Eukaryota; Viridiplantae; Streptophyta; Magnoliopsida; Poales; Poaceae
Exons: 2
Source: RefSeq, a predicted model, not a curated record
GCCACCCCCUUUUCUCCCCCUUGGCUGGACGCCCCCUCCCCCUAUGGCAGCCAUCAUCCAUUGCUUCCUCCCCCAAGAUCUUCCCCUACGCAGCAAGGAUCGAGAAAAGGAGGGGCACGUUGAAUUGAAGAGGAAGAGAGGAUCAAGGAGAUGUUCUUCCCCAUCUCUUCUUGAAGAUUUCUUGGGGAAACCCUAGGUGCUUGUUGCUCAUCAAGGGGAGUGGGAAGUAGCAGCACAUCCACCUUCACUCUCAUAAUAAUGCAACCCAGACACAGCCAUGAUUUAGUUAGAAACUUCUUGUCAAAGGAUGUUUGUUUUUAACUAGUCGUGCACACUGAUUAAUUCAGUUCAUUGUUGUUAUGGUUGUCUUCC